AAAUUAGAAUCCAAGGAAGUUGACAUGUCAUCACUUCAUUUUUUUGCGCCUGCGCAUAAAUCUGAGAAACGUGAGUUUUGUCUUCAUUGUUUAUCUCGACAUAGGAUAGGUUGUGUGAAAAUAUUACUGAUGUUUAACGUUAAAAAUGGACCAAAAGAUUAAUGCUAAACAACAUUUGACAUGUUUGAACGAACAUAAAUAGAUUAUUUACUCGUUUUUUUUUAGCUUUUCGGCGUGAUUUUACAGUCCCCCACCACGUUUUGUGGGAGCAUAAUGAACGCUAAGUACUUGGUGUUAUUUGGACAUAAAUUAUGAACUUUGUCAAAAGAAACCACAUUUGUUCCGGACCUGGGAUGCCUUCCGGACCUGGGAUGCCUGUCUUCUGAUGGAGAUAAUCAAAGGUAAGAUGUACCUGACCCAGAAGACUAUCGUUGAGGGGUAGGGGUCAAAGAGGAACCUCUGAUGGGCAUUGGGGCAGUGAUGGACUGCCUUCAGGGGCGAAAAUCUGAUAUCAACUUUGGAGGGGACAAUUACAUUAAAUUUUCUCAAGAGCAAUUCCUGAGGGGGACACCAAAAGUAGUGCUGUAACACAUAGCCUACAUUGUAAUAUGGUAAAUGUAUAUUGAGGAACCCAAAAAAUAAGGUGUUUGCUGUACUCCUAACUACCGGUACCCAAAACUACACAACUAAUCACAACAGCAAUACCAUUGCCUUUAACAAAUCUUAGUUCAGUCACCAGUUUAAGUUGAAAGUGGGGGUAUCCAUGGCAUUUUCCAAUUAUGUUCCUAUUUUACAAGUCAAAAAAAUUGAGAACCUUUCAUAAUGUUGCCAAACAAAGACUCAACAAACUUACCUGAGACUCCCUGUCUCUGCCAGUCUGUCCCUGCAUAUCUGUCCCCAACUCUGCUGUCUGUGUGCCAUCUGUUGCCUGCUCUGCCUAAUGACAUCAUUGUGAAACAUUUCCAUUAGAAUUUAAUUUCUUUCUUAUGAACAUUUUAUCAACUAGUCUUUGAGAUAUUAGCCUACUAGGGUUCUUACUUUGCGUUUUGGUGUACUGAAAAAUACUCUGAUGUCCGUCUUUUAUUUUUCUGACAUUUUUCUACCUGGCUGGCUGGCUACACACACACACACACAGUGUGUAGGUUAUUUACAGCAGGAGAUGGGCUUCUAUCAUCUUAUCUUUUAUCAUUCAAUUUGGGCUUCGAUCUAAAAGGUAGCUAGCAAAUGUGAAACGGAUUAAAAUGACAAGAGUUGACAGCUGUAUGAGUUCACCAUUUACACAACAUAUGCUGCAACCUUUUGUAAUUUUAAUAGUUUGUUUCAUAUUGGCUGGCUUCCAACAAUAGCUGAAUUUGCAAAGCUAGCGAGCACCAAUUCCGUUUCAGUGGUGUUUGCUAUAAUCUUUUCUACCCGGGUUUAAUAAAGGUGAAAUAAAAUAAAUAAAUAAAAGUUCCCUUGCGACAAUUUAGCUUUUGCAACGAGACCAUUAAAUAUAUUUAAGACAAUGGUAGAAGAGAGUGUAGUUCUGUUCAGUUUGGACUUCAGUUUAUCGCUAACCUUAUCACAGGGACUUUGAAGCACUAACUUACAUCAUCUGCAUGCUGAUCUUGGAAUAAAUUGACGAUAGCAAAGAUUCCAUCUUUGACGAGGCCACAUAAAUGGAAUAGGUACUAGCUAGCUUAAUAGUUAAUAUUUGCCCGCUAGCUCUGCAUAUUCAGCUAGUGUGUGUGCGCGAUUGACUGGAUUAACCUCACGUCAGUUACGUUCAUUGAGUGCCUUUCAGACAGUGGAUACGACCCCUCUGUUACCUUGCCAAAUAAGGAACUGGCAGUGGAUCAAACCAUUGUGAGGCAAAGGGUGGGGGGGUCGCAAUCUUUUGAAACUUAAAAACGCGCUAUUAAGUGUCUAUAAUCAGCACAAUUGCUUUCAUUGCAUAUUAUUAAUAUUAUUUAAAUGACAUAGGGGGGGACAAAUCAUAUUUUUCCCAGGAUAGGGGGGUCGUGUCCCCCCCCGUCCCCCCCCGGGAUUUCCGCCCCUGAGUUUGCCUUAAAACGACAGGAAACGGUGUCUAAGAAACCAUGGCAGACGGAGCACUGAACCUCAACCUAACUUCACUUUCCACACAGAAGCUUAAUUUCCCACAACCUUUGGAUGGAUAUGGGGGAAAGCAUUGUGGGAGGCACCUAGAUUCAAAGUAUAAUACAGAUCUACGAGGUGGGAAUAUGGAAGAUGUGAGGGGUUGGUUGAUUUCCGACUGGGCAACUGUCCUGCGUCGAUUACUAUUGUUCUUGGUCACUAUAUACCCUCUCUUCACCAUAGUAUAUUCCGCUUUUCACGUUUCUUUUGUGAGCCGUAAUGGUGCAACAGACAGUGUACAGACAGCCUUGAUUCCUUUGUUAUAUUUUUGCCAGUCUUUUAAUUGUGUAUUG
RNAcentral lists this long non-coding RNA (2429 nucleotides) under Salmo salar (Atlantic salmon). RNAcentral's name for it is "lncRNA (ENSSSAG00000101364.1)". Lineage: Eukaryota; Metazoa; Chordata; Actinopteri; Salmoniformes; Salmonidae. The record is from RNAcentral.